AAGAUUUUAAGUUAAGCUAAACUACUGAUUUUCAAAAUCAGCAAUAUUUAAGAUUAAUUACAUCUUA
This 67-nucleotide transfer RNA is filed under the name Trialeurodes vaporariorum (greenhouse whitefly). RNAcentral's name for it is "tRNA-Trp". Lineage: Eukaryota; Metazoa; Arthropoda; Insecta; Hemiptera; Aleyrodidae. The record is from RNAcentral.